This 930-nucleotide long non-coding RNA is filed under the name Androctonus crassicauda. The record is from RNAcentral. Lineage: Eukaryota; Metazoa; Arthropoda; Arachnida; Scorpiones; Buthidae.
CAAUAAUGAAUAUUUCAAUUUCUGUUAUUUAACUGAAACGUGUCCGCUUGAAGAAGUUUAUAUAUAUUUUCUCGAAGUUAUCAGACAUUUCAGAGAAUUAUAAUAGAAUUAUUCAAAUUUGCACAUCACCAAAACAUUUUUGCAUUGAUGAUUAUGAUAUUCCCAUGUACGAAUAUGAUUAAAAUUCUUCAUAUAGUCAGGUCACGUAUCCUGAUGUAUUGUUACUAGGCAAUUAAACCAUAAAGAAAGGUUAUUGAAUGGCUGAGAAAUUUUGAUACGAUCACCAUAAUAGAAAUACAAAGGAAUUUAAUCUAAUAAAAAAUAAUAAUUGAAAAUAUAAAUCUCAACAAUUAGAAGAACCGAUCAUCAAAACAUAAGCUAUGGAAAACUAGUAUAGUGAUAGUUAUUAAUUAAAUUAAAUAACAAUUAGUUUACUUUCAUUUCACUAAUUGUAUUGUUUUAAUCAAUAACACUAUCAUCUCACGAUUUGUUUAUCUUAAGGUAAGAUAUAGAUACCCUAGGUCGCACGGAAAAGUAAAGAAAAAGCGUUCAGUUCGCGCAUUGGCGUCACACCUACCCAGACGAGUUGUGUUGUUUGUUAUACUUCUUCUACUAUAAUGCCUAUUUGCGUAGUUUUUGACUGUGAUAAUCACAAUAGACAUACGAAAAGAGAUGGAUUACUUUUUGAAAUGUUUGAGCAUGAAACUUUCUCUGAUAUCAUGAAAAAUGAAGGCUUUAAGUAUUUAUCAUAUAUAGCUUUUAAAUUUAAAUCCAAGUAUCCUGAACUUGGUAACCAACAGCAGAAAUUAAACUACCACCACAAAAUGUUAAUGAUGAUUGGCUAAUGAUGCUUUCCAGAGCUUAUCCUUCAGAAAAUUACUGCAACAUGUCUCUACUAUUAAUGAUAUAUUUGAAAAAUUUCAUGGUUUA